GACGUAGGGCGCGAGCGUUGUCCGGAUUUAUUGGGCGUAAAGAGCUCGUAGGCGGUCUGUCGCGUCUGCUGUGAAAACUCAGGGCUUAACCCUGAGCUUGCAGUGGGUACGGGCAGACUAGAGUGCGGUAGGGGAGACUGGAAUUCCCGGUGUAGCGGUGAAAUGCGCAGAUAUCGGGAAGAACACCCGUGGCGAAGGCGGCUCUCUGGGACGGUACUGACGCUGAGACGCGAAAGCGUGGGGAGCGAACAGG
Molecule: ribosomal RNA, 253 nt
Filed under: uncultured bacterium
Lineage: Bacteria
Description: partial 16S ribosomal RNA
Rfam family: Bacterial small subunit ribosomal RNA
Source: RNAcentral